UCUUCUGACACAUUGAAAGUCGGGACCUUUCACUGAAAAGAUUUAAUAGACCUUGGUAUUUGGACUGUGCAAACGCAGCAUAAUCAUUAGGCUUUUAAUUGAGGACUGCAAUGAAGGUUUGACAAAGUAGUUACUGUCUCUAAUAUAAUUAAUUGAAUUUUACUKUCAAUUAAAAGGCUUAAAUAUUGAUAAGGGACAUGAAGAACCUAUAGAUCUUUUUGAUGAAUUUUACUAUUAAUUUUAGGUGUAUAAUUAUUUUGUGAAUUUUUAUCAUUUUAUUGGGGUGAAUAAGAAUAUCAAUAAUGAAUAUAUGAUCCUUUUUUAUGGAAUAAAGAAUAAGAUGCCCUAAGGACAAGAGCAUCAUUUUGUCGGAGAGUUCUUAUUGAUAAUAUAGAUGGCGACCUGGAAGUUGGAUUAAGAAUGUAUGUUGGUGUAGGUGCUGAUAUUAUUGAUCUGUUC
RNAcentral lists this ribosomal RNA (459 nucleotides) under Cardiodactylus enkraussi. RNAcentral describes it as "partial 16S ribosomal RNA". Lineage: Eukaryota; Metazoa; Arthropoda; Insecta; Orthoptera; Gryllidae. The record is from RNAcentral.